AACGAACGCUGGCGGCAUGCCUAACACAUGCAAGUCGAACGAAGGCUUCGGCCUUAGUGGCGCACGGGUGAGUAACGCGUGGGAAACUGCCUAUUGGUGGGGAAUAACGACGGGAAACUGUCGCUAAUACUGCAUAAGCCCUUCGGGGGAAAGAUUUAUCGCCGAUAGAUGUGCCCGCGUCCGAUUAGCUAGUUGGUGAGGUAAUGGCUCACCAAGGCGACGAUCGGUAGCUGGUCUGAGAGGAUGAUCAGUCACACUGGGACUGAGACACGGCCCAGACUCCUACGGGAGGCAGCAGUGGGGAAUAUUGGACAAUGGGCGAAAGCCUGAUCCAGCAAUGCCGCGUGAGUGAUGAAGGCCUUAGGGUUGUAAAGCUCUUUCGGGUGGGACGAUGAUGACGGUACCACCAGAAGAAGCCCCGGCUAACUUCGUGCCAGCAGCCGCGGUAA
This 449-nucleotide ribosomal RNA is filed under the name uncultured bacterium. RNAcentral's name for it is "partial 16S ribosomal RNA". It matches the Rfam family "Bacterial small subunit ribosomal RNA", at positions 29 to 523 of the family's 1533-position model. The record is from RNAcentral.